This 331-nucleotide ribosomal RNA is filed under the name uncultured Francisella sp. RNAcentral describes it as "bacterial SSU rRNA". It matches the Rfam family "Bacterial small subunit ribosomal RNA", at positions 148 to 508 of the family's 1533-position model. The record is from RNAcentral. Lineage: Bacteria; Pseudomonadati; Pseudomonadota; Gammaproteobacteria; Thiotrichales; Francisellaceae.
CUUUUAGUAAUAUAAAAGACUAAUACCGUAUAUUCUCUGUGGAGGAAAGAAUUUAUCGCUGAUGGAUGAGCCCGCGUCAGAUUAGGUAGUUGGUGAGGUAAUGGCUCACCAAGCCGACGAUCUGUAGCUGGUCUGAGAGGAUGAUCAGCCACACUGGGACUGAGACACGGCCCAGACUCUUACGGGAGGCAGCAGUGGGGAAUAUUGGACAAUGGGCGAAAGCCUGAUCCAGCAAUACCGAGUGAGUGAUGAAGGCCUUAGGGUUGUAAAGCUCUUUUAGCAAGGAAGAUAAUGACGUUACUUGCAGAAAAAGCCCCGGCUAACUCCGUGC